AGAGUUUGAUCCUGGCUCAGGAUGAACGCUGGCGGUAUGCUUUACACAUGCAAGUCGUACGAGAGUUUUUAACUCAAGUGGCGGACGGGUGAGUAACACGUAAGAAUUUGCCUUUAGGAGGGGGAUAACAACUGGAAACGGUUGCUAAUACCCCAUACGCUUUCGAGUGAAACGGUUUUUCCGCCUAAAGAGAAGCUUGCGGCUGAUUAGCUUGUUGGUGAGGUAAUGGCUCACCAAGGCGACGAUCAGUAUCUGGUUUGAGAGGACGAUCAGACACACUGGAACUGAGACACGGUCCAGACUCCUACGGGAGGCAGCAGUGGGGAAUUUUCCGCAAUGGGCGAAAGCCUGACGGAGCAAUACCGCGUGAGGGAUGACGGCCUAUGGGUUGUAAACCUCUUUUUUCAGGGAGGAAUCAAUGACGGUACCUGAGGAAUAAGCAUCGGCUAACUCCGUGCAAGCAGCCGGCGUAAGAC
RNAcentral lists this ribosomal RNA (476 nucleotides) under uncultured bacterium. RNAcentral describes it as "bacterial SSU rRNA". It matches the Rfam family "Bacterial small subunit ribosomal RNA", at positions 8 to 526 of the family's 1533-position model. The record is from RNAcentral.